ACUGGGAGGGACUGGGAGGGAACUGGGAGGGACUGGGGGGGACUGGGAGGGAGUGGGAGGGAACUGGGAGGGACUGGGAUGGACUGGGAAGGACUGGGAGGCACUGGGAGGGACUGGGAGGGACUGGGUUAUACUGGUUCCUAUGGGUCUCUAUUGACCACUAUGUGCCCAUACUGGUCCAUACUGGUUUAUACUGGUCCAUACUGGUCCAUACUGGUUUAUACUGGUCCAUACUGGUCCAUACUGGUUUAUACUGGUCCAUACUGGUCCAUACUGGUCCAUACUGGUUUAUACUGGUCCAUACUGGUCCAUACUGGUCCAUACUGGUGCGGGAGGAGGUGGGGGAAUGGGUUCUACUGGGAUCUCCUACUGCUUCUUACUGGUUCCUAUGGCU
This 394-nucleotide long non-coding RNA is filed under the name Numida meleagris (helmeted guineafowl). RNAcentral describes it as "lncRNA (ENSNMEG00000002284.1)". Lineage: Eukaryota; Metazoa; Chordata; Aves; Galliformes; Numididae. The record is from RNAcentral.